GACGAACGCUGGCGGCGUGCUUAACACAUGCAAGUCGAACGAGUGGCGAACGGGUGAGUAACACGUGGGUGAUCUGCCUUGCACUUAGGGAAAAGCUUGGGAAACUGGGUCUAAUACCGGAUAGUGCAAGAUGAGUGCGCGGCCUAUACGCUUGUUGGUGGGGGAAGGGCUACAAAGGCGGGACGGGUAGCCGGCCUGAGAGGGUGUACGGACACAUUGGGACUGAGAAGCGGCGCAGACCCCUACGGGAGGCAGCAGUGGGGAAUAGUGCACAAUGGGCGGAAGCCUGAUGUAGAGACGCCGGGUGGGGGAUGAGGGCCUUCGGGUUGUAAACUCCUUUCGUCAGGGACGCGGGACCUGUAUAAGAAGCACCGGCUAACUACGUGCCAGCAGCCGCGGUAAUUG
RNAcentral lists this ribosomal RNA (405 nucleotides) under uncultured bacterium. RNAcentral describes it as "partial 16S ribosomal RNA". It matches the Rfam family "Bacterial small subunit ribosomal RNA", at positions 28 to 527 of the family's 1533-position model. The record is from RNAcentral.